This 1754-nucleotide long non-coding RNA is filed under the name Marmota monax (woodchuck). Lineage: Eukaryota; Metazoa; Chordata; Mammalia; Rodentia; Sciuridae. The record is from RNAcentral.
UUCUAGUCAAGAUUCUAGUUUCCAUUAGAGCACCCAAAAUUAAAGUUUAUUUUAUAUUAGGAUAUAUUUGCAUACUAGAAAAGCAAGACAUUCACAUGUCUAUGAAAAUUGUUCUAGUCAAUACUUUUGUCGUUAAUAACCACCUGGAGAGCCACCAUGUGUGUUCAAUAGCCAUUUAUAAUAAGAAGGUGCUACAUUCUCCAUUUAUCAACUGCCAUGUGCCUGACAGGUGUUAAUAAGAUGGCUUAUCCAAAACAGGACAAUUGGCUAUAUAAAUUUAGCCAUGGUACUACUAAUUUACUGUGUUCUUUUUUUAAAAUGGAAAAGAUGCCCUGUAUAUUAUCUUUUUUGCAAAAACCUGUCUUUUCUUAUGGUUUCAUUAAUAUGAAAUAUUUAUUUGAGUUGUAACCAAUUUAGUACAACAUGUGUUCACUGGCUCAGUUUCUAUGUGUCAGGGGCAAGGCAUGAGUUCACUGGGUCUUCUAUAAAGCUGCAGUCAAGCGUCAGCCAGGGCUGCAUUCUCAUAUGGAGACUCAGCUAGGGAAGGAUCUGCCCCUCCGCUGUCAUGAUUGGAAGCAUCCAGUUCUUUAUUGUUGUAAAAUUCAUGUUUUCUUGCUUCUUCAAAGUGGUAUAGGAGACAUACUCUAGAGCAGUCCUGCUAGUGAAAGGGAGACUUAUGUAAUGCACCAUAACCAAGAGCAUGACAUCCUGUAUCUGUGCCAUAACUUCUUCCUUAGAAGCAAGUCAAAGAUCCUGCUCACACUCAAGGUGAAAAGGAUAUAUAAGGCUCAUGAACCAAGGGAUUAGGAGGCACCUUAAAAGUCUGCCCACAACAGAACUAUAUCCAUAUUGGUGUUCCCUAAAAUACUGAUGAGAAUUUUAAGGUACGGAUGGUCUCUGACUUACUAUCGUUCAACCAAGGAUUUUUUAAACUUCAUGAUGGUAUGAAAACAAUACACAUUCAAUAGAAACUAUUCUUUAAAUUUUUAAUUUUGAUCUUUUCCUGGCCUAUCAAUAUGCAGUAUGAUACUUUCUUGAAAUGCUAAUUAGCAGCCGUAACCCACAACUCACAAUCAACCACACGAUCAUAAUAGGAAACAACUGGUAAUCUAUACUGUGUUACUAAGCUAGGAUGUUGGGUAGAUUUGGUGUAGUCAGUGCAUUUUCAAUUUGUGGUAUUUUUAACUUGCAGUGAGUUUAUUGGGGCAUAACCUCAUCCUAAGUCAAGGAGCAUCUGUAUAAUAAUAUAUGAAGAUCCACCUUUGAGAAUGAUGUACAUACUUUUGUCCCCAAAGGCCCGUGAAUGUUGGGGAAGAAUUCAACACAGAAAUGAUGGGCUUUAUUUAAUGCACAGGCGAGUAUAGGCAUCAAGGAAUCACUGUAGCUUCAAUAAGUGAUCAUCUUAUAUGCUAAAAGAAUUCAUCACUUUGGUGUUGGAAUUUUACAGGUUUAUUAAGAAUGAACUACAUAUACUGCACACUGCUCUCUGUUCUGAAGAGAAACAAAAUUGUUGCACCUAAUUAUAGUAAUGCAUAUCUACUUUCUCUUACUGAUUUUUAAAUUUUACCUGAUUAUUUGUUAACAAAAUUAAAUGUUUGAAUUAAACUAAGAAAAUAUUUUUAAAAGAAGUUGAAUGAAAUUUGAAUUAUGAAAUUAUAUUAUUUACCCCUUAAAUAUUAAAAAUGUGCAGAUGUAUACAUUCUGUAGUGGUAUGUUUAUUACUUUAUCCCUGCUGCAUAUAUAAGUAAUAUUAG